CCAUCCCAGUUCGGAUUGCAGGCUGNAACCCGCCUGUAUGAAGUUGGAAUCGCUAGUAAUCGCGGAUCAGCAUGCCGCGGUGAAUACGUUCCCGGGCCUUGUACACACCGCCCGUCACACCAUGAGAGUCGGGAACACCCGAAGUCCGUAGCCUAACCGCAAGGAGGGCGCGGCCGAAGGUGGGUUCGAUAAUUGGGGUGAAGUCGUAACAAGGUACC
Molecule: ribosomal RNA, 218 nt
Filed under: uncultured bacterium
Lineage: Bacteria
Description: partial 16S ribosomal RNA
Rfam family: Bacterial small subunit ribosomal RNA
Source: RNAcentral